GGGGACGAACUGGUAUCGACUGCCGUUUUGAGUGAAAGAAAAGCACGCGAAGUACCCUCUUCUAAAAAGGGAAUCGGUAAUAACUGCCGACAAUAAUGAAUUUGCUUUGGCUGCAUAAUUAGCCAAACACCGUGAAAAUUGAAUGCUUUCGUCAACUUUUAUGGUAUAACCUUAGAAAGCUGGGCAGUGUGACGCGAAUAAACAUUGUUGAGAAAAUAUUCGCUGGGAAAUUUUGACUUUGUUUGUAGAGAAUAAAUUUCUGAAAACAAAAUACAAACUAAGCAUGUAGAAAGCUUUUAUUUGUGCGGUAGGACGCGGGUUCAACUCCCGCCGUCUCCAUUA
This 342-nucleotide transfer-messenger RNA is filed under the name Spirochaetia bacterium. It matches the Rfam family "transfer-messenger RNA". From Rfam's summary of the family: Bacterial tmRNA, also known as 10Sa RNA or SsrA, is named for its dual tRNA and mRNA-like properties. Its role is to liberate the mRNA from a stalled ribosome. To accomplish this part of the tmRNA is used as a reading frame that ends in a translation stop signal. Lineage: Bacteria; Pseudomonadati; Spirochaetota; Spirochaetia. The record is from RNAcentral.